RNAcentral lists this microRNA (23 nucleotides) under Monodelphis domestica (gray short-tailed opossum). Its description in RNAcentral is "mdo-miR-1545d-5p". Lineage: Eukaryota; Metazoa; Chordata; Mammalia; Didelphimorphia; Didelphidae. The record is from miRBase by way of RNAcentral.
UGUGCCCUGGGAUAGAUAAGUGA